Molecule: long non-coding RNA, 415 nt
Filed under: Gallus gallus (chicken)
Lineage: Eukaryota; Metazoa; Chordata; Aves; Galliformes; Phasianidae
Description: lncRNA (ENSGALG00010008685.1)
Source: RNAcentral
CCUGACCAGAUGCAGUUUAGAGGGGCGGUGACGUGCUUAAAGUCUGAGGUCAUGGGUUUGCCCACACAGAAGUGCAAUAACAGGACAGGCACGGCUUAAAGUGAAACGGUGAAACUUCCUCCAAAAGUAUUUGCAAACUCAGCUGCCAUUCCACAGAAAAGGCCCCCAGGAGCAACAUGGUUGUGUGAGUAAGUGGAAGUUUACCACUAAAUAUGUUCUUCUGGGGAACUAAUGAGAUCUGCGUUCCUACAGAUGUGCCCUGUUGCCUCUUUCUCUCCUUCCCGUGUCAGACCACCUCCUACACCAACAUUAAGCCCUCGUUCUCACCGAGCAAGAAGCACCAUCCGCCCUGGGCAGCAAUAAAAAAAAAUGGCGGUAUCAGUCCAACGGACAAUAACAGGAAGGCUUUGAUUUU